UGCGCAGGCGGGAAAUUAAGUCAGUGGUGAAAUCCUGCAGCUUAACUGUAGAAUUGCCAUUGAAACUGAUUUUCUUGAGUACAGUUGAGGUGGGCGGAAUGUGUAAUGUAGCGGUGAAAUGCUUGGAUAUUACACAGAACACCGAUUGCGUAGGCAGCUCACUAAACUGUUACUGACGCUCAGGCACGAAAGCGUGGGGAGCGAACAGGAUUAGAUACCCUGGUAGUCC
RNAcentral lists this ribosomal RNA (229 nucleotides) under uncultured bacterium. RNAcentral describes it as "partial 16S ribosomal RNA". It matches the Rfam family "Bacterial small subunit ribosomal RNA", at positions 568 to 796 of the family's 1533-position model. The record is from RNAcentral.